CUAAAAUCCACACAUCUAUGAGCUUUCUUUCUUAAUCUAAAAUCUGGAGCUCUCUUCUCUUUGAUUUCAGGAAAGAGGAAUCAAUGCCAAGACUCAAUAUUAGAAAAACGAAUGGGCAUGCACGACACAUCAGUGAAGGAACAAUGAAAAAUGAGCGCAUAAAGGAAUCAAAGAGUCUGCUGCACCACCCUGAAGACCUGGGCUACUUUCAUCAUUGUCAUGUUUGCUGUUUGUUUGUUUGUUUGUUUAUACUUACCCUGCCUAUUCCAGUAAGAUUUAAGGCAGCUGUCUCUCAUUUUCUUAGCCUCCAAUAUACACGCACUUUAUUUAUUUUGUGAUCAGUGAUUUAAAUUAUUAUAUUCCAGACCAUAGCAUAUGAUUGUGAAGCCAUUUUUAGUCUUGCUUUUUAAAUUCAUCGGAACUGAGAUUGUGUGUUUCUGUGUGUGUGUGUGUGUGUGAGAGAGAGAGAGAUUCUUUAUUUACAGGCACAACUACACAAGUAAACCCACUCUGCAAGAGCAGAAAUGAAAAUCUGCAGAGAUUAGGAGAUUAGAGAAUCCAAAAACAGAGAUAAGAGGCAGGAUUUCAAGAGAAAACCAGAAGUAAAUUUUACGUAAAAUUCCAAAAUAUUGCUUCAAAUCUGAACUGACUCAAAUAUACCAGAUAAAUAUGGAUGCAUCCUGAUACUGUCAGGAUGUCAACAGCUCCCAAAUUCCCAUGACAAAGAUUUCAUAGACUGUUGGUAUGAGGGCAUUGGAAUUAAAUCCAGUAGUUCUUGACUGUGAGUUUAUAGAUAUUUUUGAAACUUUAAUGCAAUUUUUAAUUGCAAAUAUAAAAAAAACCUCUACACACUACUUUAGGAGACCCCUCAAAUCCUUUCAUGGACCACAGAUUCAGAGAAGAUGACCUUGUGCCCUUAACCCACAAGGAAACUAAGAUGCAUAGUAUAAAACUGAUAUGACCGGUGUCACCCAGCCAUGAUUCCAUUACUUGAAGAUGCUUCUGAAAUUUG
RNAcentral lists this long non-coding RNA (1012 nucleotides) under Homo sapiens (human). Its description in RNAcentral is "HSALNT0115496". The record is from RNAcentral. Lineage: Eukaryota; Metazoa; Chordata; Mammalia; Primates; Hominidae.